CCUACGGGCGGCAGCAGUGGGGAAUAUUGGACAAUGGGCGAAAGCCUGAUCCAGCCAUGCCGCGUGUGUGAAGAAGGCCUUCGGGUUGUAAAGCACUUUCAGUGGGGAAGAAAGCCUUGGGGCUAAUACCCUCGAGGAAGGACAUCACCCACAGAAGAAGCACCGGCUAACUCAGUGCCAGCAGCCGCGGUAAUACGGAGGGUGCGAGCGUUAAUCGGAAUUACUGGGCGUAAAGCGCGCGUAGGCGGUCUGAUAAGCCGGUUGUGAAAGCCCCGGGCUCAACCUGGGAACGGCAUCCGGAACUGUCAGGCUAGAGUGCAGGAGAGGAAGGUAGAAUUCCCGGUGUAGCGGUGAAAUGCGUAGAGAUCGGGAGGAAUACCAGUGGCGAAGGCGGCCUUCUGGACUGACACUGACGCUGAGGUGCGAAAGCGUGGGUAGCAAACAGGAUUAGAUACCCUGGUAGUC
RNAcentral lists this ribosomal RNA (465 nucleotides) under Vreelandella stevensii. RNAcentral's name for it is "partial 16S ribosomal RNA". It matches the Rfam family "Bacterial small subunit ribosomal RNA", at positions 338 to 795 of the family's 1533-position model. The record is from RNAcentral. Lineage: Bacteria; Pseudomonadati; Pseudomonadota; Gammaproteobacteria; Oceanospirillales; Halomonadaceae.